This 801-nucleotide long non-coding RNA is filed under the name Mustela putorius furo (domestic ferret). RNAcentral's name for it is "lncRNA (ENSMPUG00000031492.1)". The record is from RNAcentral. Lineage: Eukaryota; Metazoa; Chordata; Mammalia; Carnivora; Mustelidae.
AUGUGGCUCUGGCGGCACCUGGGUGGCUCAGUCGGCUGAACCACCUACUCUUCCCCCCACCCCCCACCACCCCCCGCGGAGUGUGGAGUUUCCCUCCCUCGGCCUCUCCCCCCUCUCGCUCCUGCGCACUCUCAGUCUCAAAUAAAUCUUAAAGAAGAUUGUGUGUUUCUGGAACAAGGAUAUGAACAGAACAGAAAAGAGAAUUCAGAAGCGCACCCAUGCGCAUUUGGUCACCUGAUUUAUCGCAAACGUGAUUAACUCAGAGAUUAUGAAGCAAACAGAAGAGGAGUAAGAGGUGUGAGGAGAAGGAGAAGCGGCGAGGGUCGCAGCACCGAGGAGGGGCCGACAGAGCUUCGCUUGGGGAGCAGGAGGAGAUCCGCAACGUCAGGGACAGCCGGCGUCCAUUAAACGGAAGCGUUACUUAGAAUUGGACUUUCACGUGACUGUGGGAACCGAGCUGAGCUCUUCCGGCCCAGCGGACAGGAACCCGGGAGGAGCGGUUUGCAGGUGGAGAAGCGGUGGGCCGGAGGCAGGGAGAGUCAGCUGCGCCUCCAAGAACUCGGGGCGCGAGGGAAGGCCAGCCGUUCCCAGCAGCUAAUUUUUUGCCUGCUUGAUCUAUCAUUUUUGGAGGGAAUUGCAUUAAAGUUUACCACUGGACUUUUCAUCUUAGUCAUUGUGCGCAAAUCCUCUGGGUUGGCACCUGAAGCUGGGCUGGCUUUCACUUCACCUCCUCCAUCAUCACAUUCACUCCCCUUGUCCUCACAAGGUUAACUCCAGGAAAGAGAGUAAGUGGUUCAUUUU